GUCUAUGGCCACACCACUCUGGCAACGCCCGAUCUCGUCCGAUCUCGGAAGCUAAGCAGGGUCGGGCCUGGUUAGUACUUGGAUGGGAGACCUCCUGGGAAUACCGGGUGCCGUAGGCU
RNAcentral lists this ribosomal RNA (119 nucleotides) under Callipepla squamata (scaled quail). The record is from RNAcentral. Lineage: Eukaryota; Metazoa; Chordata; Aves; Galliformes; Odontophoridae.